AUGGAAAAAGAGAGAGAAGAGGAGGAGGAGAGGAGGUGGGCCAUGAAUAUGCAGGGAAGGAGGAGGAAAGGAAGGGACUGGGAGUCUCCCUUCGCCACCCACAAAGUCAAGGGAAGGAAAGCUCAAAGGGGCAAUUCAUAUCCGCCGGGUCAAUGGGGCAUUAUGCUUGGCACCAGGCCUCUUGCAAAGGGAGAACCGGCGGAUGCAGAAAUACAUGGGACAGAUUUCUAGGGCCUUCAACAUGGGUCAUGGGUCAACUACUGGCAGAAGUUAUCCCUCGAAUUGGAGGACCUUGGAGGAGAAGCACAGUCAAAGCCCUCCCGGCAGAUGGCCAUCCGGACUCUGGUUAAAAGCCUCUAGAGUAGGAGACACCACCAGACUCCACGGCAGUAUUUGAAUCAGAUAUGUAAAUAAUCAAAUCUGCAAAUGUCAAAGCAAAGUGCAAAAUAUAUACUGCUGAGUUUCCCUUAUCUAAAAUGCUUGGAACCAGAAGUGCUUUGGAUUUCAGAUUUGUUCAGAUUUUGGAAUACAGGAGAGUCUCACUUAUCCAACAUAUAAGAGCCAGCAAAAUGUUGGAUAAGCGAAUAUGUUGGAUAAUAAGGGAGGGUUAAGGAAAAACCUAUUCAACAUCAAAUUAGGUUAUAAUUUUACAAAUUAAGCAUCAAAACAUCAUGUUAUACAACAAAUUUGACAAAAAAAGUAGUUCAGUACGCAGUAAUGUUAUGUAGUAAUUACUGUAUUUACGAAUUUAGCACCAAAAUAUCAUGAUGUAUUGAAAACAUUGACUACAAAAAUGCGUUGGAUAAUCCAGAACGUUGGAUAAGUGAGACUCUACUGUACCUGCAUUAUAUCUCAUCCUUGUGACUUCCUAGAUUCGUCCACAAGGUGGCAAUGAAGGAAAGCAAAAAAGAAGCAGUUGUAAAAUGCAUAUUAAAGGACAUGUUCUACCAUUGGACCCAUUUGGGAAGUUACAAUUCUAGGGGAUUUUGGAGUUGCAGUCCAAAAAGGAACUUCUCUGAACUCCAAUAACUUUCCAACUGAGCAUUCCAACUGAGCAUCAACUCAGCGCCGCAUGCAGCUGUUGUUGCGACCUCAAACUGACAUCUCCAAAUAUAGAAGCAGAGUGUCUUUUGGUUUCCUUUUUCGACUUGGCCGAGUCCCAUUUCACACUCUAAACAGGCCUAGACAAACUUGGGUCCUCCAGGUGUUUUGGACUUCACCUCCCACAAUUCCUAACUACUGUACAUAGAACUGGACUAUAUCAGUCUACACUGCCCUAUAAUCCAGAUCAAUGCAGUUAAUCCACAUUCUGAAACUGGAUUGUAGGGCACUGUGGAUCCAUCAUAAGACUCAUAUUGAACUGCAUUAUAUACCAAUGUAAAUGGGACCUAAGUAUUUAACUAGGGGCAGAAUGAUUGCAGUUUGGCCCCACUUUAACUGUCAUGGCUCAAUGCUAUGGAAUUCUGGGAGUUGUAGUUUUAUAGCCUUCUCUGCCAAAGAGUGCUGGUGCCACACCAAACUAUACAUCUCAUGAUUCCAGAUCGCUAAGCCAUGGGGAGCCCCCCCCCCCCGGUGGCACAGCGUGUUAAACCGCUGAGCUGCUGAACUUGCAGACCGAAAUGUCACAGUUUCGAAUCCAGGGAGCGGAGUGAGCUCCCAUUGUUAGCUCCAGCUUCUGCCAACCUAGCAGUUUGAAAACAUGCAAAUGUGAGUAGAUCAAUACGGAAGGUAACUGCGCUCCAUGCAGUCAUGACCUUGGAGGUGUCUACGGACAACGCCGGCUCUUUGGCUUAGAAAUGGAGAUGAGCACCAACCCCCAGAGUCGGACACGACUGGACUUAACGCCAGGGGAAAACGUUUACCUUUACUAAGCCAUGGGGAGGUAAAGUCGUAUCAAAUUGUAUUAAUUCAACAGAUUAAAUGCAACCAUGGAGAGACUGCCAUUCUUGCUUGUGAC
Molecule: long non-coding RNA, 1957 nt
Organism: Anolis carolinensis (green anole)
Lineage: Eukaryota; Metazoa; Chordata; Lepidosauria; Squamata; Anolidae
Source: Ensembl